UUUCAAAUAAGUAAUAAAAAUUCUUAAAGAAAUAUUAGAAGGAUCAUAAAUAUCACUCAAAUAAAUCUCAAUUCAAUCUUAAUUUAAUUCUAGUUAAAAUCCUAUUGAACUUCAUUCAAACUUUAGGCCAAAAUUAAUUGAAUCUUAAAUCUUAAUAAAAUCCUAAAUCCUGAAUCAAACCUUAAACAAAUCUUAAACCAAACUCCAACCAAAUUCUAAACCAAAUCCUAGCCAAAUCCUAAAUAAAACCCUAAUCAAAUUCUAAACCCUAAAUCAAACCCUAACCAACUUCUAAACUAAAUCCUAGUAAUUCCUAUAACAGAUUUAAACCUCAAUAACUAAUGAAUAAACUGUUGAUCUUAAUUUAAUUUUUUCACACUUUUAAAUAAAUAAAUUAGAUAAAAGCACAAAAAAAUUGAAAAGAAUCGGAGUUACCAAAUUGACGAUAACCUCAAAAAUUAACUUAGGUAUUGGCCAGCCUCCUUCUCCAAUCUUAAUGCCAAUCUUCCAAAGCCAAUAUCUCUCCUUUGCAUCGUUCGAUUGAUCUCAAAAUUUUCAUACACAUAGAAAAAAAAGUUUAAUAU
RNAcentral lists this long non-coding RNA (584 nucleotides) under Physcomitrium patens. RNAcentral's name for it is "long non-coding RNA (PPAT_LNC003717)". Lineage: Eukaryota; Viridiplantae; Streptophyta; Bryopsida; Funariales; Funariaceae. The record is from RNAcentral.